AAUAGAUACCCCGGUAGUCCACGCCGUAAACGAUGGAUACUAGCUGUUGAAGGUAUCGACCCCUUCAGUAGCGAAGCUAACGCGUUAAGUAUCCCGCCUGUGGAGUACGGUCGCAAGACUAAAACAUAAAGGAAUUGACGGGGACCCGCACAAGCGGUGGAUCGUGUUCUUUAAUUCGAUGAUAAACGAAGAACCUUACCAGGGUUUGACAUCCCAAGAAGGCUUCCGAAAGGAAACUGUGCCGUAAGGAACUUGGUGACAGAUGAUGCAUGGCCGUCGUCAGCUCGUGUCGUGAGAUGUUUGGUUAAGUCCAUCAACGAGCGCAACCCUUGUGAAUAGUUGUAUUUUUCUAUUCAGACUGCCCCGGCAACGGGGAGGAAGGAGGGGAUGAGGUCAGGUCUGUAUUUCUCUUACAUCCUGGGCUAGAAACACGAUACAAUGGCUAGUACAAUGCGCAGCGAAGCCGCGAGGUGGAGCAAAUCGCAUCAAAGCUAGUCCCAGUUCGGAUUGUAGGCUGAAACUCGCCUGCAUGAAGUCGGAA
This 541-nucleotide ribosomal RNA is filed under the name uncultured bacterium. RNAcentral's name for it is "bacterial SSU rRNA". It matches the Rfam family "Bacterial small subunit ribosomal RNA", at positions 777 to 1331 of the family's 1533-position model. The record is from RNAcentral.